GCCCACAACUCGUCUGGCUCAGUUGGUAGAGCGUAAGGCUGUUAACCUAGUGGUCAUGGGUUCGAGCCCACGGUGGGCU
This 79-nucleotide transfer RNA is filed under the name Spirodela intermedia. RNAcentral's name for it is "tRNA-Asn". It matches the Rfam family "tRNA". Rfam says of the family: Transfer RNA (tRNA) molecules are approximately 80 nucleotides in length. Their secondary structure includes four short double-helical elements and three loops (D, anti-codon, and T loops). Further hydrogen bonds mediate the characteristic L-shaped molecular structure. tRNAs have two regions of fundamental functional importance: the anti-codon, which is responsible for specific mRNA codon recognition, and the 3' end, to which the tRNAs corresponding amino acid is attached (by aminoacyl-tRNA synthetases). tRNAs cope with the degeneracy of the genetic code in two manners: having more than one tRNA (with a specific anti-codon) for a particular amino acid; and 'wobble' base-pairing, i.e. permitting non-standard base-pairing at the 3rd anti-codon position. The record is from RNAcentral. Lineage: Eukaryota; Viridiplantae; Streptophyta; Magnoliopsida; Alismatales; Araceae.